GUCAACAGGGCCUUUGUUCUACCUGCACACACCGGCAGGCAGGCGGGCAGAGCCAGCCCCCUUCCCUGGCAGCUCCCCCACCCUCUGAAGGCAGGCACUCCAGGCACAGGGGCGGCACCUCACUACUCUCACUUCCACUUUUGGGACCACAGCACCGAAGCGGCACGGGGAAGCCAACACUCCAGGUAGGCCACGCACACACCCAGAAGCCCGCGUCCCCAAGUCCGGCGGGCCAGACCUCACGGCGCACAGCAGUACUUGCUGAUGCCAUGAGGCAUGACUCUCAUGAGGACAGUCAAGCAGACCUGCUAAGAGGUGCGUACAGCAAGAAACUGAGGCCUCUUGCCAUCAGAUCAUGUGAGUGAGCCAUCUUGGAAGCGAAUCCUAUAGCCCCAGUUGAGCCUUCAGAUGACAGCAGCCCUGGCUAACAUCUUGAUGGAAACCUCGUGAGAGACCAGAACCACCCAGACAAGCCACUCCUGGCUUUCUGACCCACACAAACCUUGAAAUAAUAAGUAAUGGCUAAUAUUAAGAAGAUUGAUAGUAGCAAGUGUUGAUGAGAAUGUGGAGCUACUGGAACUCUCACGGACUGCUGCUGGAAAUGUAAAUUGAAACAACCAUUUUGGAAAACAAUUUGGUAUUAUUUCUAUUACUUUCUAAAUAAUUGAAGGUAUGCAUUUCCAAUGACCCAUCCCUGAUGACCCAGCAAUUACACUUAUGGGAAUAUACCCAACGGAAAGGUGUAUGUGUAAAUGUGCAUAUCAGGAUGCAUAUAUAGAACAUUCCUAACAGCAUUAUUUAUAAUAGCCCCAAGCAAAAAAUGGACCAAAAUUUCAUUCACAGUUCAUUCAUACAAUGGAAUACUGUAAGCUAUGAAAAUUAAGGAAUUAUGACUAUACACAAUACCAGGAAUAGGUCUCAGAAGCAUAAUUUGAGUGAAAGCAGUCUGACACAGAAGAGUCCAUGUUAUAUAAUUCUAUUUAAAUGAAGUUACCCUUGGUGAGGUGGAGGGGCCUCAGGGAGUUGGCCUCCCAUCUCACCAAAUAAGACUCCAUGUCUUAUUCUUUACCUGGCUAGUGGUUACAUGGCUGUUCACUACAUGGUCUGCACAUUUUUGUUUUGUACCUUUUUGUGCAAAUGUACACUUUUAAAAUGAAUUACAAAACCACACAACCCAACAGCAUAACACCAAAAACCACAGUCCCAUGAGUCUGUCUUAAUAGCCCUCAGAGUGGGCUCAGCAGAUCAUCCUGGUGUGAGUUCAGUGAGUGCUGGUUUAUCAGGGCCAAACCAUGCAGUUGGCCUGUGGUUCUCUAGGGGGCAUGGCCUUCAGGAGUCCAUGGAAUGUGUAUUUCUUGGGUAAUUCUCCAUGAAAAAUAUUGCUUUAAUUAAAACUGGAGAACAGAGAGUUUGAGGUAACGUUCUCUGGUGAUAGCCUGACGUCCUGUUCCUCAGCUUGGCUGACUCAAGGUCAAUUGCUAUUGUUUAAGUGUUUGUCCCCUCUAAAACUCAUGUUGAGGCUGGGUGUGGUGGCUCAUGCCUGUAAUCCCAGCACCUUGGGAGGCUGAGGCAGGCAGAUCAUUUGAGGCCAGGAGUUUGAGACCAGCCUGGCCAACAUGGUGAAACCCUGUCUCUACAAAAAUACAAAACUUUGCUGGGCAUGAUGGCAGGUGCCUGUAAUCCCAGCUACUUGGGAGGCUGAGGCAGGAGAAUCGCUUGAACCUGGGAGGUGGAAUCUACAGUGAGCCGAGAUUGUGUCACUCUACUCCAUCCUGGGCGACAGAGUGAGACUCCAUCUCAAAACAAACAAACAAAAAACAAAAAAAACUCAUGUUGAAACUUUGAUCCCCAAUGUGGCAGUAUUGAGAGGUGGAGUCUUUAAGAGGUGAUUGGGUCAGGAGGGUUCUGCCCUCAUGAAUGGAUUAACCCAUUCGUGGAUUAAUGGACUAAUGGAUUAAUAGUUAUCAUGAGAGUGGGACUGGUGGCUUUACAAGAAGAGGAAGGGAGGUCUGAGUUAGUACCUCCGUCCCCUCACCAUGUGAUGCCCUGCAUUGCCUCAGAAUGCUGUAGAGUCCCCACCAGCAAGAAGGCUCUCACCAUGUGCUCCCUUGGCCUUGGAGUUUCCAGCCUCCAUAACUGUAGGAAAUAUAUUUCUUUUCUUUAUAAGUUACCUAGUUUCAGAUAUUCUGUUAUAGACAACAGAAAACAAAUUAAGACACCAAUCUGCCCACUUGAGAGAAGGAACGGUGUGAUGGUAGAGCUGACACCCUUGAAAGAAGGCCAGGGAGUCUCAGCCUGAUUCUUACCUGAACAUGUAACAACAUCCUGCCCUGGACUGGGGCUUCCUGCGAUGUGUCUGCCAACGGGGCCAUGAGUGCCUGGAUUGUGUGCUCCCCCACUGUGGAUGAGGGGAUCUGAAAGCUGGCCACCACGCGAUGUGGGUGGUGGGGAUUUAGGCUGGAUAUUUCCAAAGCUGGAGUUACCAAUUGCCCCAAGGCCCAAGAAACAUCUCAACACACAGUUCUCAUCAUGUCUUUAAUUUCAAACGGGGUAAUUGGCUCUCUUCAGGAUACUGCUGGGGAGUGACCGAGGUGACUGUAUGGGGUCAUGGCUCCAGUCACUUCCCACAUCCUUCUGCUCAUGGAAGCAGCCUCAGCUGUUCUGGCCCAGCGGACACCACAGAUUUUACCACAAGGUCACCUGAUCCCAGGCAGCCUGGCUCCCGGCUGCCCAGUGACCCAUGGAGCAGGUGAUGGUGGUUCCUGAACUGCUCUGAUGUGAUCCCUCUGUCAUUCCUGAUCCUUCAGGGCCAGAGAGGCAGCAGCCCCCACCCACAGCAAGACCCCGAAAAUUUGGGCAAGAGCUUGGGGCCGUGUUCUCUCUCAGAAGCUGGGGGUACUCUGGUUCUGCACACAGCUGUCCCCAAUCUGUCCCAUAUUUCCUGGGUAUAUACCACAGAGUGGAAUUGCUUGGCCAAAUUGUCACUUUAUGGUUAGUUUUUUGAGGGACUGCUAGACUGUUUUCCAAAGUGGCUGCACCAUUUUACAUUCCCACCAGCAGUGUAUGAAGGUUCCAGUUUCUCCACAUCUGCACCAACACUCGUGAAUUUUUAUCUGUUUGAUUAGUCAUAGCUGGGCCUCAUCUGCACCCAUGCUCUAAGAGAAAGCCUGCCUGGGAGGAGAAGAAGUCAGCCAGCAGGGGAGGGUGUCCCACCAAGUAUCAGGAGCUUUGGUUUGCAAGAAACAGCACAUCUACCUCAAAUUGGCUUGAACAAUAAGGAUCAUUUUAAUAAGUAGAGAUAUUCACAUACCAUAAAAAUCACCACUUCAAAGUGUACAAUUCCGUGGUUUUUUUUUAGCUUAUUCAUAGAGUUGUGCAACAAUCAUCACUAAUUCCAGAACAUUUCAUCCCCCCCAAAUAGGAACCCUACUCCCAUUCCUUUCUGCCCCCAGCUUCUGGCAACCAUGAACCUAUGAUAUGGUUUGGAUGUUUGUCCCCUCCAAAUCUCAUGUUGAAAUGUAAUCCCCAGUGUUGGGGGGAGGCCCGGUGGGGGGUGUUUGGCUCACAGGGGCAGAUCCCUCAUGAAUGGCUUAGUGCCAUCCCCAUGGUGAUGAGUAAGUUGGUGAGAUCUUGCUGUUUAAAAUUGUGUGGCACCCACCCUCUGUCUCGCUCCUGUUCUCACCAUGUGAUGGACCUGCUCCCCCUUCACCUUCCACCAUGAUUGUAAGCUUCCUGAGGCCCUCGCUAGAAGCACAUGCUGGAGCUGUGCUGGUACAGCCUGCAGAACCGUGAGUCAAUUAAACCUCUUUUCUUUAUAAAUUAUCCAGCCUCAGGUAUUUCUUGAUCUGCAGUCCAAUGCUCUACCACUGACCUAUACCCUCUCCUCUUUUUUUUUUUUUUUUGAGAUGGAAUUUCACUCUGUUGCCCAGGCUGGAGUGCAGUGGUGUGAUCUUGGCUCACUGCAACCUCUGCCGCCUGGGUUCAAGCAAUUGUCCUGCCUCAGCUUCCCGAGUAGCUAGGAUUACAGGUGUGUGCCACCAUGCCUGGCUAAUUUCUGUAUUUUGAGUAGAGACAGGAGCUCACCAUGUUGGCCAGGGUAGUCUCGAACUCCCGACCUCAAGUGAUCCACUCACCUCAGCCUCCCAAAGUGCUGGGAUUACAGGCGUGAGCCACCGCGCCCAGUGCAGCCUCAGAUAUUUCUUUAUAGCUAUACAAGAAUGGCCUAACACAAGGUACUUGCUGUUUCUUUUGAUGUGCCUAUACUUCAUGCUUUAUGUAAAAUUGACAACUCUGUGCUUGGCUUCUUUCACUCAGCAUUACAGGGUCUCAAGAUUCAUCUGUGUUGUCGCAUGUAUCAGUAUUUCAUUUCUUUAUAUUGCUGAAUAGGAUUCUAUUGCAUAAAUAUACCUCAUUUCCUUUAUCCAUUCAUCAGCUGAUGACCAUUUGGGUUGUUUCCACUUCUUGGCUAUUAUGAAUAAUGCUGCUAUUGUGCAGACAAACUUUCAUUUUUCUUGGGUAUAUACCACAGAAUGGAAUUGCUUGGCUAAAUUGUAACUCUAUGGUUAGUUUUUUUGAGAAACUUCUAGACUGUUUUCCAAAGUGGCUGCAUCAUUUUACAUUCCCACCAGCAGUGCAUGAAGGUUCCAGUUUCUCCACAUCCUCACCAACACUUGUGAAUUUUUAUCUGUUUGAUUAGAGCCAUCUUAGUGUGUGUGUGAAGUGAUGUUCCACUGGGGUGUUGAUUUGCACUUUCCUAAUAAAUGGUGACAUCGAGUAUCAUCCACUGUGUUCACAGGUCAUUUGCAUGCCUUCUUUGGAGAAAUGUUUAUUCAAAUACUUUGCCUGUUUUAAAAUUAGAUUGUCUUUUUAUAUUCUGGUUAUAGGCCCUUAUCAAUUAUAUGAGUUAAGAAUAUUUUUUCCCAUUCUGUGGGUUGUUUUUUUCACUUUCUUGAUAGUGUCCCUUGAUGAACAAAGUUUUAAAUUUUGAUGAAGUCCAAUUUAUCUAUUUUUUUCUUUGGUUACUUGUAUUUUAGACAUCAUAUCUAAGAAACCA
Long non-coding RNA from Pan troglodytes (chimpanzee), 5053 nucleotides. RefSeq lists it as uncharacterized. The record is from RefSeq and is a predicted model, not a curated record. The transcript has 3 exons. Lineage: Eukaryota; Metazoa; Chordata; Mammalia; Primates; Hominidae.